RNAcentral lists this ribosomal RNA (447 nucleotides) under uncultured bacterium. Its description in RNAcentral is "bacterial SSU rRNA". It matches the Rfam family "Bacterial small subunit ribosomal RNA", at positions 355 to 825 of the family's 1533-position model. The record is from RNAcentral.
UGGGGAAUCUUGGACAAUGGGCGCAAGCCUGAUCCAGCCAUGCCGCGUGAGUGAUGAAGGCUUUAGGGUUGUAAAGCUCUUUUGCCGGGGACGAUAAUGACGGUACCCGGAGAAUAAGUCCCGGCUAACUUCGUGCCAGCAGCCGCGGUAAUACGAAGGGAGCUAGCGUUGUUCGGAUUUACUGGGCGUAAGGCGCGUGUAGGCGGGUCGUUAAGUUGGGGGUGAAAUCCCGAGGCUCAACCUCGGAACUGCCUUCAAAACUGGCGACCUGGACUCAAGCAGAGGCAAGUGGAAUUGCGAGUGUAGAGGUGAAAUUCGUAGAUAUUCGCAGGAACACCAGUGGCGAAGGCGACUUGCUGGGCUUGUAGUGACGCUGAGACGCGAAAGCGUGGGGAGCAAACAGGAUUAGAUACCCCUGUAGUCCCUGAGCGGGCUGGCAAGGCGCAU